Molecule: ribosomal RNA, 249 nt
Filed under: uncultured organism
Description: partial 16S ribosomal RNA
Rfam family: Bacterial small subunit ribosomal RNA
Source: RNAcentral
UGGGGAAUAUUGGGCAAUGGAGGAAACUCUGACCCAGCGACGCCGCGUGCGGGAUGAAGGCCUUCGGGUUGUAAACCGCUUUCAGUAGGGAAGAAGCGAAAGUGACGGUACUUGAGGAAUAAGCAUCGGCUAACUCUGUGCCAGCAGCCGCGGUAAUACAGAGGAUGCAAGCGUUAUCCGGAAUCACUGGGCAUAAAGCGUCUGUAGGUGGUUUGGUAGGUCUGUUGUUAACGACUGGGGCUCAACCCC